Molecule: RNA transcript, 6460 nt
Organism: Grus americana (Whooping crane)
Lineage: Eukaryota; Metazoa; Chordata; Aves; Gruiformes; Gruidae
Gene: DDX20
Gene name: DEAD-box helicase 20
Exons: 13
Source: RefSeq, a predicted model, not a curated record
CCCCCAAGAUGGCGGCGCCCGCGGAGGCGGUGGUGGCUGAGGGACGGUUCCGCACGCGCGACGUGUUGGUGCCCGGCGGCCCGUCCGACUUCGGGUCGCUGCUGCUGUCGGCGCCGGUGCUGGCGGGGCUGGAGGCGGCGGGGUUCCACAGGCCGUCACCGGUCCAGCUGAAGGCAAUCCCGCUGGGGCGCUGCGGCCUGGAUCUCAUCGUGCAGGCCAAGUCCGGCACUGGCAAAACCUGCGUGUUCUCCACCAUCGCCCUGGACGCGGUGCUGCUGGAGAGCCCCGCCACGCAGAUUCUGAUCUUGGCUCCUACGCGGGAGAUUGCUGUGCAGAUUCAUGCUGUAAUCACAACUAUUGGAAUAAAGAUGGAAGGCUUGGAAUGCCAUGUCUUCAUCGGUGGGACUCCUUUGAACCAGGACAAAGUCAGACUAAAGAAGUGCCACAUAGCGGUUGGCUCCCCAGGUCGAAUAAAGCAGCUCAUAGAGUUGGACUACUUGAAUACAGCCAGUAUCCGGCUUUUCAUUCUUGAUGAAGCAGACAAGCUUCUGGAAGAAGGCAGCUUUCAGGAGCAAAUCAAUUGGAUUUACUCUUCGCUGCCAGCCAAUAAACAGAUGCUUGCUGUUUCUGCUACUUAUCCUGAAUCAUUAGCUAAUGCUUUGACCAGGUACAUGAGAGAGCCAACGUUUGUGAGGUUGAACCCUACUGAUCCAAGUCUCAUUGGGCUGAAACAGUAUUACAAGAUUGUGAAUUCCCACCCGCUUCCGCAUAAAACAUUUGAGGAAAAAACCCAGCACCUGCAGGAGCUGUUCAGCAAGAUUCCAUUUAAUCAAGCCUUAGUCUUCUCAAAUUUGCAUAGCAGGGCUCAACAUCUAGCUGAAAUACUAACAUCCAGAGGCUUUCCUGCUGAGUGCAUUUCGGGUAACAUGAAUCAAAAUCAACGACUUGAUGCUAUGGCUAAAUUAAAGCAAUUCCACUGUAGAGUUCUGAUUUCCACAGACUUGACAUCUCGCGGAAUUGAUGCUGAAAAAGUGAAUCUGGUUAUCAACCUGGAUGUACCUGUAGAUUGGGAAACGUACAUGCAUCGUAUUGGCAGAGCUGGGCGCUUUGGAACUUUAGGCUUAUCGGUGACAUAUUGCUGCCGCGGAGAGGAAGAAAACACCAUGAUGAAAAUUGCUCAGAAAUGUAAUCUGCAGCUUCUUCCUCUACCAGAGCCUAUCCCUCCUGGAAUGAUGGAUCAAUUUGAAGAUGGGGAGGUAGAAGUCAAACCUGUUAUACAUACAGGUGCUUCAGUGAAUUCUGACACUGUGUGUCUUAGACCAGAGGAACCAGUACUGCAGCCUGGCCAAAACAGUUUUGCAGAGGUACCUCAGCCUCUUUCUAACCUUCCAGCUGGUAACUCUUCUGCAGAAAGGCCAAAAAAUUCUCUGAAACAAAAGCAGAUAAAAAAGUGCACAAAUCCUGCAAAUAGAGAAAAAGGUAAUAGAAACCCCCAAACUUCCAGUUGCCACCCAGAACACAGGAAUCAACUCAAAACUAUCUCCAGAACGGAUGGACAACGUAACACUCAGACUCCAAAUGAGGAGACCUUAAAAAAAAAUCUUCCCAGAAUUCCAUGCUUGUCUUCUUUCAAAAACCAACAGAACAAUCCCUGGAGCUUCUCAGCGUUUGUUGAAGACUAUGAGUAUUUCAUUAAAGAAGGGUUGGAGAGAGAGGUUGAAAUUUUAAGAAGCUAUUCAGGCCCAGGAGAGCAGUGUGAGCUCCCCAGAAAUGGUGAUAUGGAGUGGAAAGAGGUGGAACAUAAUACAGAGCUGGUAGCAAACGGUGUUUUGUCUGGUGACAGUGAUGAUUCGUACAGUUCCAGGGCUUCUUCCAACAGCAGGGACAAUAACUCAUGCUUUGAAACAUUUUCAGAUACACAGGAGAAAAAUGCUGUUCCCACGAGGCGUCGGAGUCACGAAGGUUUCUGUCCUACACCAGAGAAGCCUCAGGAGCUAUCACAAAUCCCCAAGCAAAAUCAAGUGAAAAAGAAAGUUCUGAAACAAAACGCUAAACAAAAGAAAAAACAUUACCAUGAAUUCCCUAGUCCUUCCAUGGGAAAAACUGAAGACGACUGCUCCUGCAGCUCUUGGGAUGAUGGUGUUCCAUAUGAGGCUUGGAGGUACAAAAACUACUGGAAAUCCUAUUACCAAGCAUGGCAAAACUACUAUGCUGCAGUGUCACACUACAGGAGAAGUUACAGACAGUUUAACUGGAUGAGUGCCUAUCAUGUCAACUCAGUCUAUCUUCAGGAGCUGCUGAAAAGUGGUGAUUGAUGGAGUGACGCUGCUGGUAGGGACAGGCUGGUUGGAGCCAUGAAUGGACAUUAGCUGUGAAAAAAGUGCUGGUCUACCUGUACAUUGACAAACAUAGACAUUCCUUAAGACUGAAGAAAAAUGUUGUCUUUCUUAAGUGAGCUGUGUCUAGCUGUCCUGAAGCAGGAAAAGAGAGUGCUGGCUGGCUUUGGGUAUUGACCCUAGGAUGACUCCGCGCUGAUUUUGAAACUUCAUCCUCUACCUUUAGUGUGUUUUGGGAUCAGAGAGACAGAUUUCUUCAGCUAGUUUUUUUGAUUUCUCAAAGUUCACCAGACCAGGUACAGUCUGUUGUUUUGUGGUUUGUUUUUGUUUGUUUUUGUUUUUUUUUCCUUGAGCAGAGCAAGGAUGGAAUUUUCUUAGUAAAAGCCCUGCUUCCUACCUGCUAUGAACUGUACUUCCAAGGAGACUCGCCUUGUAUUUGGUGAAACAGAUGUCUUCAGGGAUGCUUGUUUGCUCGCCUUCAGCAACUUUCAAAUUCAUUUUGAGAAAGGCAGUAUGUUUUCACUCAGCUCACGUAAAUCACUUGCUGCCUGAGCCUUCCUAAUGUUCUUGCAAAAUUCCCUGUGCAAAUCCUGUGGUGUCCCUGCCAGCACUUCUGACCUUUCUGUGGAAUGGUGGGUCUAAACUUUAUACCACGCAAUUCAGACUCGUCACUGUGCAGGAGAAUUGUAAGAUUGAUUUAGCUCAUGAGUGGCUUAGAAAUUUAGCACAAGAUAGGGGAAGCAAGGCUGCUGUCCUGCUGGGAGUGGGUUUGGGGUUUUCCUGCAGCUGGGGCAAUGGUGGCCUCUAGUGGGUGUCAGCCUUUGCUGCAAGAGAGAAAAGGGCUGCAAACUCUUCUAUUCCGCUCACUGGGUGUUAGUGGUCACCUAAUAAGUAAGUUUAAUUUCUGCUUAAAGAUUUUUGAAAAUUUUUACAAGUGCCUCUUGAGUGGCACUUUCUGAUAUGGUUAAGAUGGGAUCAGCUCUACUUGUUCUGUGGUUGAAACAAACUGACUGUAUCUGCAAUACAGAAUGCAAGACUUCAGCCUAAAUGGAAUUGCCAAGAUGAAAUCGCCUUUUAAAAGAAAGGCAUAAGAUGUGCUCUUUAACUAUAGUAAAUCUCGUUAGGAGAAGUAUUUUUCUUUCUGUACUUUUUUCCCUGCUUUACUCCCUUUGUGUCACAACAAAUUACCCCAGGGAGGGGGUUUGCCAGGAUGGCAUCUGCAUAGUUUGGAAAGGCCAAGACAAUAUGAUUUUGUUUCCAAGAUCAAUUUUCUUGCAACUCUUAACGUUCAAAAGGAUGAUACCGUAAGAGAUGCACUUAGGUAUCUGCAUUAUUGCUCUCCUAUAACAUCUCAGUCAUCUUGCUGCUUUCAUUAAUGGUUGCUUAAGUGAGAGUUAUUAGUAUUUAAAUGCAACUCGAGUGGCUUAGGCCAACACCCAAAGUUCUCCAAAAGAACCUCCCAGAGAGAAGAAAUCUACAGCAUCAUCUCGGUAUUUGUGGCACAUAAUCUGUUUAAUCCAGAUUGGAUACAUCAGGUACAGCAGUGGCACAAGACUCAAUACUGUAAAUGAUAUACAAGUUUCAACAUAUGCACUACAAUUCCAAAAGAAGACAACAGGAAACUUGGUUCUUCUAGAAAGUUGUUCUCAAAUGAAGCUACCUGCAGUUGUAUACAGUACACUUUGUAUCUGUCCUCUGAUGUUCGUAAGCAAAGCCCAUUUAUAGUACGAAAAUAGAAAAUAAUAAGGUUGAAAGCUUCUCAUAACAUAAAACUCCUAAAGAAAACACCAUUGCAUUGGAAUGCCUUACUGAUUUAUCAAAAAUAUACCAUCACACGCAUUUUGUAAGAUACUUCAUUGGUCCAAGGAGCCAGUGGGAGCUCCCAGUCGUAGUUGCAACAGAACGGUGAAGAGCAUUCGGUAUGGUUGUUACCUUCUCACCCAGACAGCUGCGUGACUUCUGUAACUAGCACUAGUUCAAAUCAAAAUGAAAAGAAACACGUGCACACGUAUACACACAAAGUAACAGACUAUUGACUGAGACCAAAACUCAGGAAGGAAUUGUCACAAGCUCUUUGUCACCUGGUCUUUUGACUGAUCCACCUGAAGUUUUUCUGGCACAGUUGUUGCAUUUUGAACGUAAGUAGCGGUACUUUUCUGGUACGCUUUCUCAAGAGUUCUCUAUGGUAGUAUUUUGUAGGUGUUCAUGAUUUGAACUUCACUAUUGAAAGAGGAGGUAUUAAAUUCUAUACAGCUUGUAUAAUUGGCAAAGAGAGGUGAAAUGACUUCUUCGAGGUCACUUAGUGAUUCAUCAAGACAAUCAGGAGUAGAACACAGGUUCCUGAUGCUAAUUCCUAGCUGUAAUCAAUGUGCACGCUGCCUUGUGUUUGCUUUUAAAGUUUUAGAAAGAUAAAACCAUUAGGAAGAGUGUUUAUGGCAUCGUUAAAUGUGAAGCCUAAAAACUUGAGCUCUGAAGUCAUAUAUCUAGUGCAGUUGCUUAAAGUGUUGGAGAAAAAUAAGUGGUUUUUUAAAAAAAUCAAGAUAAAUUUGAUUGGUAAAUUACGUGGAAAAGGUGUAUUAUUCACCUAACUUUAAAAGCAGAAUAAAGUCUUCAGUUCGAAGCUGCCGAUGUUCGCGAGCCAUCUGUGAGUGCUGACUCUGCAACUCUGCCAUGGUCUGACAUAGAAAAAAUAUUACAGGAUCCAAGGGAUGUUUGCAACCCAUAAAUUCAGUGGGAUUUUUAAUAUACGGAAUUUGCUCUAUAAUACAUGUAAGAUACAAUGUGUUUACAAUCUCUUUACUUAAAAAAGCAAACUAUUUGAAGAAACACUGCUUUCUUUAGCUGGUAUUAAUCUGAUUUUCAUGCGCACCCCUUAAGCUGUCUAUGCUAGAACGAUAAAUGCUGGUUUGCCAUACUAGUAUAUUAUCAACUGUUUCAGGUUAAACAAGUAGCAUUGAUUCAAAUUUAGUAUUUCUGGUAACUGUAAAGAAGGAUGUAUUUUGAAUUACCUACUAACUUUAUUCCACACUAAAGCCAUCUGUAUUACUUAUUUUAGCUUUUCCCCAGUUCACUUUUAACAAUGAUAAUUAUUUGACAGACAAAAGUAGUCUCUGGGAUAGGAAUUUGCUGUAGAAAGUUUUAUAUUCCUUUUGUGCUUGCGGGCAGCUAACUUGCAAUGUGGAGAGGAGAGUAAUUUAACAUGGUGCGAGGGAGUACAAUGGCAGCAGGAGAGAUAAAAAUAAGGAAAGAAUUAUAGCUGAACAGCAGGGGAGAAUCCUUGACAUUGAGAUCUAUUAGUCUGGAAAAAGCUCUCCAGGGAAGCGGUGGGAGUCUUUUCCUUGGAGAAUUUUAAAUCUAAUCCAGAGAAAGCAAUGCAGCAUAUUGCACUGAAGGAUCUUGUGCUAGCAGAGGACGGAUUACCUUUCUUAGUUCUUUAAUUUUUACGUACCAAGGUGUGUGAUCUGUGGCCUGUUCUUUAUGGACGUCCUUAAGAUUUUUAAGGAAAAGGGAAGUAAAAGGUGGGUUUUCAAAAGAGUAGAUGGAAAUCAAGCCUAGAUGUGAAAGGUAUUUCUCAUCAUUCUUUGCCAACUGGGUGUGAUUCCUUCUAUUAGCAGCCCAAUGCCAGGUGAGAAGAGAGUAAAUCUAUUAAUAGAAUAUGUUGAAAAUCUGUGAAAAUGUUUUUCCCUCAGAAAAGGCUUUGGAAAGGAAAUAAAAUGCUCAGAAAAAGGUGGUGUUCCUUUGAUAUUUUUGAUAUUGCUUUAUGAAAGACUGAAAAAAUAAUCCCCUUCUGCUUGCUUUUUGUACAAACAAUCUGUUUUUAUCUUUUUUUUUUUUAAUGAACUGUUCUAAAACUAUAAAAAGUUGUAAGGAAUUAGGGGGAGGAGGAAGGCUUUUAAAAUGAACUGCCAACAUACUCUUGACAUUUUGUGGAGCAGUCUUGCUAACCCGUCUGUUUUGUACCACCUGCCUUUAGGACAAGUAGCAGGACUAGAGCCUACCUAUGUUUCUGGAUGCUGCUCCUCGCGGAGGUAACCCACACCUGAAGAAGCCCACUUCCACAUGCAUCAGGAGUGCCCAGGACUGCAGGGUAAAUCAGGAAUAAGAAAGGCAGCACCGAGAAUCCA